UUUUAUGGAGAGUUUGAUCCUGGCUCAGGACGAACGCUGGCGGCGUGCCUAAUACAUGCAAGUCGAGCGAAUGACGAGGAAGCUUGCUUCCUCUGAUUUAGCGGCGGACGGGUGAGUAACACGUGGGCAACCUACCUUAUAGUUUGGGAUAACUCCGGGAAACCGGGGCUAAUACCAAAUAAUCUCUUUUACUUCAUGGUGAAAGACUGAAAGACGGUUUCGGCUGUCGCUAUAGGAUGGGCCCGCGGCGCAUUAGCUAGUUGGUGAGGUAACGGCUCACCAAGGCAACGAUGCGUAGCCGACCUGAGAGGGUGAUCGGCCACACUGGGACUGAGACACGGCCCAGACUCCUACGGGAGGCAGCAGUAGGGAAUCUUCCACAAUGGGCGAAAGCCUGAUGGAGCAACGCCGCGUGAGUGAAGAAGG
RNAcentral lists this ribosomal RNA (426 nucleotides) under Lysinibacillus sphaericus OT4b.31. RNAcentral's name for it is "bacterial SSU rRNA". It matches the Rfam family "Bacterial small subunit ribosomal RNA", at positions 1 to 414 of the family's 1533-position model. The record is from RNAcentral. Lineage: Bacteria; Bacillati; Bacillota; Bacilli; Caryophanales; Bacillaceae.